CCUACGGGUGGCAGCAGUGGGGAAUAUUGCACAAUGGGCGAAAGCCUGAUGCAGCAACGCCGCGUGAAGGAAGAAGGGUUUCGGCUCGUAAACUUCUAUCAACAGGGACGAAAGAAAUGACGGUACCUGAAUAAGAAGCCCCGGCUAACUACGUGCCAGCAGCCGCGGUAAUACGGGGGAUGCGAGCGUUAUCCGGAUUUAUUGGGUUUAAAGGGUGCGUAGGCGGCGCUUCAGGUCAGCGGUGAAAUACCGGGGCUCAACCCCGGGGCUGCCGUUGAAACCGGAGCGCUAGAAUUCCGAUGCCGUCGGAGGAAUGUGUGGUGUAGCGGUGAAAUGCAUAGAUAUCACACAGAACACCGAUUGCGAAGGCAGCAUACCGGCGCUCAACUGACGCUGAGGCACGAAAGCGUGGGGAUCGAACAGGAUUAGAUACCCCAGUAGUC
Molecule: ribosomal RNA, 443 nt
Filed under: uncultured bacterium
Lineage: Bacteria
Description: partial 16S ribosomal RNA
Rfam family: Bacterial small subunit ribosomal RNA
Source: RNAcentral